This is a long non-coding RNA of Anguilla anguilla (European eel), 270 nucleotides long. RefSeq lists it as uncharacterized. The transcript has 3 exons. NCBI's taxonomy places the organism in Eukaryota, Metazoa, Chordata, Actinopteri, Anguilliformes, Anguillidae. The record is from RefSeq and is a predicted model, not a curated record.
AAAAGAUAUAGAGGGGACAGCACAGAAGACAUUCCAGUUUGCACCGAUGACCUCACUGAGAACACUCACGGCAGGAUGACCACAUUGUGAAAACGUGUGACAGAUCGUCGUUGUUCAGAUAACCCAAGACACCAGAUAUGGCAUUGGUUAUCAUAUAACCAUGGAAUUUCAUUUGCAUCUUCUUCUGUUAAUACUGCUCUUUGUCAUUACCUGCGAGGGGGAUUCUUUCAAUGAGGACACAAAGCUGUCUCAGUUAUUCCUAAAGGUGGA